UCUAAAAUGCGUGGUCAUUUUCUGGAGCUUCGGGAAAGUACACCCCCUCCCCUUCCGCUUCCCCGUCAAAGCCUCCCUUUCAAGUAGGGGACGGGGUACGAAGAGAGGUGUCAUUUCCCCAGUGUGGGAGAAGAGCUCAGAGGCACCCUACGGUGAAUCCACACCGUUACCCGCCGGGGGUAACCUCUGCGGCCGGGACCGUGAGAAGAUCGACUUGUCAGCGACCGGCGGGCACGGUGCGCCCACGCCCGGGGCUCUCAGACACCCCACAUGGGCGCACACGCGGAACCGCCUCCCGGCGGCUUGGGAACCCGACGCUGAGGCCAGGGCGAGCGGCAGGGAAUUUUUUUUUUUAACAGCCAGAAAGCGUUUGAAAUUGAGAGUGAAACGAACAAGCCCGUGAAGAGAUGAACGACCUGGAAAAAUCAGAGUCAACUCAGAGAAGGGCUAAAAAGUAAGACUGAAGCCUAAAGACUAGGAAGAGAAGUAAAGAGAAGGUGCUUUGGUCUACUCGGGCCGGGCCAUGCGGGGGUCGCCCGGCUUUCUGGCAAUGUUGCGGGAAAAUACACCUUCGGCUUUCGCGCGUUUUCCUGAGCCCAGAGAGGAUCGCGCGGGGACCCAACCGCCCGGGCUGGAGACGCGUUAACCGCAUCGCAAAUUAGGCCCUGCAGCAGAAAUCCUUUUCUCCCUAAAGUCGGGGGGCGGGGGCGGGAAGGGCGGGGUCUCGCGGCCCAGACUCGAGCCGAGUCUUCAUCAGAACUGGAUCUGAAUUUUAAAAUCGAGUUUCCAGUUCUGAUUCCCAGACCCCAGCUGUCUAGGACCAGAGACGACCUCAACUGCUCAUGGACGAAUGUGGGUGGACGCGAAUGUGGCCAGUUCUGUUUGGUACCUGCGGGAGAGGGAGAUCUGCGCGCCCGUGGGGUUUAGGGGUACCUGAUUGCACCUGCCUUUAGAGAGAGAGAGACGGUCCAGGGUCCGAGUGUGGCAAUUUGGGGUAGGAACUCGAAGGCUCUAGGAGCACAGACCGCUCCCACAGCCCCGCCCCACUCGGCUGUUAACAGCCGUGAUGGAAGGGCCUCUCUGUGUCUGUCUCCCUCCCUUACACGCAGAGCCCCGCACCCUAGGGGGCUCGGCUCGUCUCCCCAGCCUCUCCGAUUGCCCUACAGCUUGGGAUAGAUACCCUCAGAGCUAUAGGUAAAGCUGAGUCCCCAGCACCCUGAUUCCUCUCCCCAGAACCAGAGCCUCAUCGGGACACACACUCGUCCCCCAAGCUUCGGGGCCCAGGACCCCGCGGAGAGCGGCCUUGGAAGUCGGCCCCCAACCCCAACCCCACUCCCGCCCCCGGCCCGUCGGGUAGCCUGGAGGUCCUACGCAGGGUCCUAGGGGAUGCCGCCUAGGACCUCAGCGAAUUUCCAGCGAAGUCGCGCGGGAAGCGUGGGGCCGUUGUUUUUGCUUUACUUUUCACCCUGGUAACGGACUUCCCGGCCCCACCUCCACGCCCCCACACCCCGCCCUCCUGCCCACGUACCCGCAGGUAGACCCGGGGCGGCCAGGUAAACCCCGGGCGUGUCCUAACAGCCCGUAGAACACCGCGAGAGCAGGAGGAAGGGCGUUUGCAAAUUUGCAUGAAAGCCAUUUGAGCGCCUCUACAUAUCUUUUCUAGCUGCUCGUCCACUGCCCUCGAGUGAACGCCACCCUUAUAAAGCGAAACAAGGAGAUGGGGGAGAACCGUGAAAGCUACCCGCUCCCUCCGCCCCCUCCCCCCCACCAGUUUUUUUCCCCUUUGUGAAAUGCCUACAGAAAUCUUUAACCAGUUUACAUUUUAAACUAGGAAUCCAUUAAUACACCCAAGCCAGAUUUGUGGAGGUUUAUGUCCUGUCGUUAGGAGGAAAUUCAGCUUGGAGCGUAGGUAAACAAACAGCCAGACCAGCCUCCGCAACACAAUACCACAGAAGGGUAAUUAAGCAAGAAAAGUCCACAACCCCAGGUCGGUUUAUUUUUAUUACCAUGGUACCUCCCGCUUCUCUCGCUAAACCUGCUUCAUUCUAAUAAUUCUUGGUUCUGAAUACCCAAGUCACACCUGGGUAGAAACGCUGUCAGCUGUUCGCAGAAGUCUGAGCGUCGCCCUCCCACGGAAACUCGAAAAGCGAUAAGAAUCUUGACAGAGAAGUCCGUCCACCCCCUGGUGAAUGAAGCUCUUAUCCAAGGAAAACAAAAACGACUGCCUCUCGCCUCCCUGCCCCCAGCCCCCAGGAGGACUGUGAAACCUGCCUGGGUGGAGAGAGACACCGGGGAAGGAGCCGGGGAAGGCGACAGCCCCGGGGAAACACGAGGAGGCAUCAUAUCGUGGGCUCUGGAAUGUGGCAGGUGGCGCUUUGAUUCGGGAUUCAGCCCAUCGUCUUGUGGCACAUCUUCAGCCGUGUCGUCUUGGAUAAGUCAUUUCACUCUCUGCCUAAGUUUCGUCAGCUGAAAAACGGCGCUCAUAAAGGCAUCUAACACAUAAGGAUUCCCUGAGGAUGGGACACACAGCCAGUCUUCGGAGACACCUGGGCCGGGAAGAUCCCACAUACCGCGGGACAGCUGAACCCAUGUGCUGCAACCGCUGAAGCCCGGAUGCUCUAGAGCCUGUGCUUCGCAAUCACAGAAGGCACCGCAGUGAGAAGCCCUUGCACCUCAACUAGAGAAUAGCCCCUCUUGCCACAACUAGAGGAAAGCCCACACAGCAAUGAAGACCCAGCA
Long non-coding RNA from Dama dama (fallow deer), 2739 nucleotides. RefSeq lists it as uncharacterized. The record is from RefSeq and is a predicted model, not a curated record. Lineage: Eukaryota; Metazoa; Chordata; Mammalia; Artiodactyla; Cervidae. The transcript has 3 exons.